AGGAGCUGUGGGUUCGGCUGACUUGACAAUGGGCCCGGGAAAUCCCAGUAUGGCUAUUAAUAUGCCCUCCUAUAAUUUGUAACAUUAACAUUGCUGAAGGUACAGAAAAGGACAUUGAAAUGAAGAUGUCAAAACUGCUGACUUAGUUAGUUUUAUUUAACUCUACAUUCCAUUUCAACACUGCUAUUUCCUUGAUGCUGUGGAACAUUUAAAAGGUCUUCUUUCAGCCCCUGUCAAGCAGGCCUAUUAGGAAGUGAGUAAAUUUAAUAAACACACAACUGCAGUAAGUAUGCAUCACCUAAUUUGCAUGUCUGU
RNAcentral lists this long non-coding RNA (315 nucleotides) under Homo sapiens (human). RNAcentral describes it as "HSALNT0021930". The record is from RNAcentral. Lineage: Eukaryota; Metazoa; Chordata; Mammalia; Primates; Hominidae.